GAGAUGAACGCAGCGAAAUGCGAUAAGUAAUGUGAAUUGCAGAAUUCAGUGAAUCAUCGAAUCUUUGAACGCACAUUGCGCCCCUUGGUAUUCCGAGGGGCAUGCCUGUUCGAGCGUCAUUAUAACCCCUCAAGCUCAGCUUGGUGUUGGGGCCUGCUGCACUGGCAGCCCUUAAAAUCAGUGGCGGCGCCAUCUGGCUCUAAGCGUAGUAAUUCUUCUCGCUAUGGAGUCCUGGUGGAUGCUUGCCAUCAACCCCCAAUUUUUCUAUGGUUGACCUCGGAUCAGGUAGGGAUACCCGCUGAACUUAAGCAUAUCAAUAAGCGGAGGA
This 328-nucleotide unclassified non-coding RNA is filed under the name soil metagenome. Its description in RNAcentral is "partial contains 5.8S ribosomal RNA, internal transcribed spacer 2, and large subunit ribosomal RNA". The stretch from base 3 to 119 matches the Rfam family "5.8S ribosomal RNA", at positions 38 to 154 of the family's 154-position model. The record is from RNAcentral.